This 33-nucleotide ribosomal RNA is filed under the name Betula populifolia (gray birch). RNAcentral describes it as "partial 26S ribosomal RNA". Lineage: Eukaryota; Viridiplantae; Streptophyta; Magnoliopsida; Fagales; Betulaceae. The record is from RNAcentral.
ACGCGACCCCAGGUCAGGCGGGACUACCCGCUG